This 472-nucleotide long non-coding RNA is filed under the name Rattus norvegicus (Norway rat). RNAcentral's name for it is "long non-coding RNA NONRATT030377". The record is from RNAcentral. Lineage: Eukaryota; Metazoa; Chordata; Mammalia; Rodentia; Muridae.
AUUGUGCCUUUGUCUCUGUCCUCUGCAGCUGAUGUGGUCUCUGUGUUCUCUCUUAUUUGUGGUCAGUGCUGCUCUCUUCUCUGGGAUUUCCUUUCCUCCCCGAUCAGGGCCUUGCUCUACCUGUGCCUCACCAUGACCCCUGUGUUCACCAUAACCCUUUCCUUCCCAUCAGCAUCAUGUCCACCUAAAAUGGUUUUCAGAGCACCAAGGAACAUUGGGACUGUGAUACGGGCUGAGGAGGGAUACAUCCAUUUCUCACAGAACACAGAAAUAAAACCUUACUUCUUUUAAAUGGAGAGAAGCGCAGCCGGUAGCACGGGAUUAGCAAGCAGGCUGUGGUGCCAACACCGCCACCUGCCUCAUGCACUGUACCGCUAUGCUAACGGUCUCACACAAGGGAAGCUUGGAACUCCGGAGAAUCGUGAGUUUCAGAACACCUUAGAAAAUACGGUGGAGCCAUGGCUCAAAAAAA